GCGGUAAAACCAACCCCCUCUCUCUCCGAGAGAAAAAUAGAGAAGGGCAAAAGAGCAGCGGUGUGUGGUUACCGCUGUCCUGUUGAGGUAACUUUGCCAGAAAGGCCAUUCAAGUUAACUGGCAGCUUUUGAAAUCAGGAAGGCUAAGCAAUAAGUUUCAACAGGCAGAAGAAAAACAGGUUGUGAAAAAGGAAAAAGUUAAUGAGUCGUCGUGCACGAAACCAAGUGAGAAUAACACCAGAAGGUACAAUGGUGAACUUGACAGUACAGAAAUGAAUGAGAGCUCUUGCAUAAUCUUGGAGGUAUUGGAUAUUACAUAUUCCAUAGUGCAAAUUCUCAGAAAAAUCAUUUCCGAAGGAAUCCAGCAGAUCCCAAAUUGGCACAUCUGAAAUUUCUA
Molecule: long non-coding RNA, 397 nt
Organism: Egretta garzetta (little egret)
Lineage: Eukaryota; Metazoa; Chordata; Aves; Pelecaniformes; Ardeidae
Exons: 5
Source: RefSeq, a predicted model, not a curated record